GACGAACGCUGGCGGCGUGCCUAAUACAUGCAAGUUGAGCGCUGAAGGUUGGUACUUGUACCAACUGGAUGAGCAGCGAACGGGUGAGUAACGCGUGGGGAAUCUGCCUUUGAGCGGGGGACAACAUUUGGAAACGAAUGCUAAUACCGCAUAAAAACUUUAAACACAAGUUUUAAGUUUGAAAGAUGCAAUUGCAUCACUCAAAGAUGAUCCCGCGUUGUAUUAGCUAGUUGGUGAGGUAAAGGCUCACCAAGGCGAUGAUACAUAGCCGACCUGAGAGGGUGAUCGGCCACAUGGGGACUGAGACACGGCCCAAACUCCUACGGGAGGCAGCAGUAGGGAAUCUUCGGCAAAGGACGAAAGUCUGACCGAGCAACGCCGCGUGAGUGAAGAAGGUUUUCGGAUCGUAAAACUCUGUUGGUAGAGAAGAACGUUGGUGAGAGUGGAAAGCUCAUCAAGGGACGGUAACUACCCAGAAAGGGACGGCUAACUACGU
Molecule: ribosomal RNA, 496 nt
Filed under: uncultured bacterium
Lineage: Bacteria
Description: partial 16S ribosomal RNA
Rfam family: Bacterial small subunit ribosomal RNA
Source: RNAcentral